Long non-coding RNA from Daphnia carinata, 641 nucleotides. RefSeq lists it as uncharacterized. The transcript is spliced from 3 exons. NCBI's taxonomy places the organism in Eukaryota, Metazoa, Arthropoda, Branchiopoda, Diplostraca, Daphniidae. The record is from RefSeq and is a predicted model, not a curated record.
CGGGUUUUUUUUUGUUGACAUUCGUCGCAACGUUGAUGUGUAUCAGUUCGCACAUCUCUUUUGCAAACAGUAUUUGCAACGUCUAUUCUGUUUAUUCAAGAAAACGACAAACAGCAUGGAAGAAGUGCUCAGCACUCAAGGAAUAGCUUUCAAAUAACCAACGCAGCUGCCUAGCAAUCAAUAAACUCAUUGAUUAUUCAUAAAGGCCAGAAGUGGCAUCAUGUGUUGGUCCCGUUUCCCGAAGCCCUCGUUCCAUCAGCCAGGUGAAACGUAAAUGGAAGAAGGGGAAAAAAAAAAUAUGAGCCAACCGACAAAGACCCUAAACGUUGAAAAAGGAUAUGUCGGUACUUGAGCGUUUUCUGCUACCACCCGUUUGCUGGUUUCCAUUCUUUUGUGGCAGUCGCUGAAAACCAGAUAGUAAUCAGCAUUCCAGAUCUUCCACAACUCAUCCGGUCUUGCAACAACCAUUCAGUAAGGAGAAACAACAUGCAAACCAAAGCCGAAUAUAACAAUUGUUUCAUGCGCUUCUCCAGUUACAUCACCGUUGAGUAAUUUUCUAUACAAGAAACUCAUCGUGAAUUAAAAUUGAUUCAUGCAUUCUGUACAAACCGACUAGCAAUAAACUGAAUUUCGCCUUACAA